UACGUAGGGUGCAAGCGUUGUCCGGAAUUAUUGGGCGUAAAGAGCGCGCAGGCGGUCGUUCAAGUCGCGUGUGAAAGCCCCCGGCUCAACUGGGGAGGGUCACGCGAUACUGAUCGACUUGAAGGCAGGAGAGGGUAGUGGAAUUCCCGGUGUAGUGGUGAAAUGCGUAGAUAUCGGGAGGAACACCAGUGGCGAAGGCGACUACCUGGCCUGUUCUUGACGCUGAGGCGCGAAAGCUAGGGGAGCAAACGGG
This 253-nucleotide ribosomal RNA is filed under the name uncultured bacterium. Its description in RNAcentral is "partial 16S ribosomal RNA". It matches the Rfam family "Bacterial small subunit ribosomal RNA", at positions 524 to 776 of the family's 1533-position model. The record is from RNAcentral.